This is a long non-coding RNA of Harpia harpyja (harpy eagle), 1724 nucleotides long. RefSeq lists it as uncharacterized. The transcript is spliced from 3 exons. Lineage: Eukaryota; Metazoa; Chordata; Aves; Accipitriformes; Accipitridae. The record is from RefSeq and is a predicted model, not a curated record.
AAGGGUCUUUCCCGCCCACCCGGUGGGUGAGGCGCGGCGACCCCGUCUCGGUCCCGGUCCCGGUCCCGGUCCCAUCCGCCUUGGCAGCCCGCCGGGCCUGUGAUAUUUACUCUUCAGUUAAUACUACGUCGCAGUUACUGUCAUAAUGACCUUCAUCUGGGCCAAGCAACUAGAGAGUUAAGCUAUAGAAAGACUGCAAAAAAGGAUUCCAGCAAGAAAACGUGAGGUAUUACUCCCUCACUUCCCUGCCAGAGUCACUCUCCAGAACAGAAGAACGCCUGCAGAACCAUGGGAUAACUCUCCUUGGAAGCGAUGCUCAGGAAGAGACACUGGGUAGGGAAGCUGCACUCCCCGGAACAGAUUUGUGUUCCAGACUUAAGUUGAUGAACAUGGAUUGCAAUCACUAUAUAUUAGAUAGAGGGUUUUUCAUUCUUGGUAAUGUUACAAAUUAUACACAAUUACUAGUAAAAAUUGUUACAAAGUUUGAAACUCGGACCUCCUCUAAGGUACACGUGCCACAUUUGCCAGUAAGGCAGUAAGCUGGGGAAACCUUUUCCUUGCAUUUAUAGGAUGCUGGACUGCAGGGAAUACCAUCCCUGAAAAACCUAGGCUCCUUAUAAAAUACUCUGAAGAUGAGGUGUCCAACUGCUUGGAAAAAAGUACAUUAUGAACAGAUAAUAAAUCAGCUGGUUAAAACAGAUAGAAAGAUUGUAUAUCAUAUUCUAGUAUCCACAUGGGGAUGGCUAAAAUACAUUAAAAAUCUCUCAUCAAAAAGCCUACUAUCUUAAAACUUGAAAUGAAUCCAACUAUACAACACUGCUGUAUUCCUCUCUGCGCUUCUUCUCUCAGAGAAGGAUACGUAAAAGCAGAUCCUUCCUGCUGACUCAUUCUGCUCUAUAAACUAUAUUUGAGGUUUGAGAAUAAAGGAAUUAUCCUGGCUUGUUAAGCUAUUUACCUCCAUGUUUAUAGUUCAACAUUACCAGAACAACUACUGCAGUGUACUGUUAUUAUUAUUACUACUAAUAAUAGUAAUCAAUACCUAACAGCAUAAAUGAGAGCAUACAGACAGGAAUUAUCACUCCUCUCCGCAAUUCCAACUUCUUCUCCAGAAUUUCAUUACAGUAGGUGGACAAUAACAGAAUUUUAUAAAAUACAAAAUAAAAUCUUUAGUGGAAAUUAAUUACACACUUGGAAAACCCCUAGCACUUCCAAGUUACCAUGUUGUUAACCACGUGUGCUACAUCCCUGAAGUUCUACAUCUUUCUUUCCUCAGUUUUACAGCAUCCUCUCUUGCACAGCUCCUUAGGGCUCUUCAGACAACCCUUAUCACUGAUCAUCACAGGGGCUCAGCGCCAACACUGCUGGACAUUUUUCAUAUGGAUAAUAUGGAAAAUCAUCUGCAGGGCAAAUGGUCACAGGUACCUAGGAAUAACAUAGAUAACAAUCUUCUAGAGAUUUAUAAAAAAAUUAUGAACGAUCUGUUUGGUUUAUAUAGUAACAGUGCUGUAUUUAAAGAUAAACCUUGCACUGCUUUCACUAAAUCUGGAACCAAAGCAUAACAGUAUCUUUGACCUUAUAUGUAGGCAUGUUAUAUGUCACCGUUUUAAUUUAGCUUUUAUAUGAUUAUUUUCAUUUUUGCUAAUGUUGCCUUGUAUGCAGAAGAUCAUAUGGAGGACACUGCUGCUCCUAUACCUGCUGAAUUACAGAUGCCGCCACCACCACCC